Molecule: ribosomal RNA, 481 nt
Filed under: Neisseria sicca
Lineage: Bacteria; Pseudomonadati; Pseudomonadota; Betaproteobacteria; Neisseriales; Neisseriaceae
Description: bacterial SSU rRNA
Rfam family: Bacterial small subunit ribosomal RNA
Source: RNAcentral
AUUGAACGCUGGCGGCAUGCUUUACACAUGCAAGUCGGACGGCAGCACAGAGAAGCUUGCUUCUUGGGUGGCGAGUGGCGAACGGGUGAGUAACAUAUCGGAACGUACCGAGCAGUGGGGGAUAACUAAUCGAAAGAUUAGCUAAUACCGCAUAUCUUCUGAGGAAGAAAGCAGGGGACCAUUUGGCCUUGCGCUGUUUGAGCGGCCGAUAUCUGAUUAGCUAGUUGGUGGGGUAAAGGCCUACCAAGGCGACGAUCAGUAGCGGGUCUGAGAGGAUGAUCCGCCACACUGGGACUGAGACACGGCCCAGACUCCUACGGGAGGCAGCAGUGGGGAAUUUUGGACAAUGGGCGCAAGCCUGAUCCAGCCAUGCCGCGUGUCUGAAGAAGGCCUUCGGGUUGUAAAGGACUUUUGUCAGGGAAGAAAAGGGCGGGGUUAAUACCCCUGUCUGAUGACGGUACCUGAAAAAUAAGCACCGGCU